This 468-nucleotide ribosomal RNA is filed under the name uncultured bacterium. RNAcentral's name for it is "partial 16S ribosomal RNA". It matches the Rfam family "Bacterial small subunit ribosomal RNA", at positions 28 to 507 of the family's 1533-position model. The record is from RNAcentral.
GACGAACGCUGGCGGCGUGCUUAACACAUGCAAGUCGAACGGAAAGACCCUGCUUUUGUGGGGUGCUCGAGUGGCGAACGGGUGAGUAACAUGUGAGUAACCUGCCCUUGACUUUGGGAUAACUUCAGGAAACUGGGGCUAAUACCGGAUAGGAGCUCCUGCUGCAUGGUGGGGGUUGGAAAGUUUCGGCGGUUGGGGAUGGACUCGCGGCUUAUCAGCUUGUUGGUGGGGUAGUGGCUUACCAAGGCUUUGACGGGUAGCCGGCCUGAGAGGGUGACCGGCCACAUUGGGACUGAGAUACGGCCCAGACUCCUACGGGAGGCAGCAGUGGGGAAUAUUGCACAAUGGGCGGAAGCCUGAUGCAGCAACGCCGCGUGCGGGAUGACGGCCUUCGGGUUGUAAACCGCUUUCGCCUGUGACGAAGCGUGAGUGACGGUAAUGGGUAAAGAAGCACCGGCUAACUACGUG